AGGUGCUGCAUGGCUGUCGUCAGCUCGUGUUGUGAAAUGUUGGGUUAAGUCCCGCAACGAGCGCAACCCUUAUCCUUGUUGCCGGCGGUCCGGCCGGGAACUCAAAGGAGACUGCCAGUGAUAAACUGGAGGGAAGGUGGGAUGACGUCAAGUCAUCAUGGCCCUUACGACCAGGGCUACACACGUGCUACAAUGGCGCAUACAAAGAGGAGCGACCUCGCGAGAGCAAGCGGACCUCAUAAAGUGCGUCGUAGUCCGGAUUGGAGUCUGCAACUCGACUCCAUGAAGUCGGAAUCGCUAGUAAUCGCGGAUCAGCACGCCGCGGUGAAUACGUUCCCGGGCCUU
RNAcentral lists this ribosomal RNA (345 nucleotides) under uncultured Enterobacteriaceae bacterium. RNAcentral's name for it is "bacterial SSU rRNA". It matches the Rfam family "Bacterial small subunit ribosomal RNA", at positions 1036 to 1382 of the family's 1533-position model. Lineage: Bacteria; Pseudomonadati; Pseudomonadota; Gammaproteobacteria; Enterobacterales; Enterobacteriaceae. The record is from RNAcentral.